RNAcentral lists this ribosomal RNA (452 nucleotides) under uncultured bacterium. RNAcentral describes it as "partial 16S ribosomal RNA". It matches the Rfam family "Bacterial small subunit ribosomal RNA", at positions 355 to 798 of the family's 1533-position model. The record is from RNAcentral.
UGGGGAAUAUUGGACAAUGGGCGAAAGCCUGAUCCAGCCAUGCCGCGUGUGUGAAGAAGGUCUUCGGAUUGUAAAGCACUUUAAGUUGGGAGGAAGGGCAGUAAAUUAAUACUUUGCUGUUUUGACGUUACCGACAGAAUAGGCACCGGCUAACUCUGUGCCAGCAGCCGCGGUAAUACAGAGGGUGCAAGCGUUAAUCGGAAUUACUGGGCGUAAAGCGCGCGUAGGUGGUUCGUUAAGUUGGAUGUGAAAUCCCCGGGCUCAACCUGGGAACUGCAUUCAAAACUGACGAGCUAGAGUAUGGUAGAGGGUGGUGGAAUUUCCUGUGUAGCGGUGAAAUGCGUAGAUAUAGGAAGGAACACCAGUGGCGAAGGCGACCACCUGGACUGAUACUGACACUGAGGUGCGAAAGCGUGGGGAGCAAAACAGGAUUAGAUACCCUGGUAGUCCAC